UUUCUUUAAAUCAAUUUCUAUAUUUUCAAUACGUAAUUUUCACAUGCAUAAACUUACUAUGUAAUUUACACAAAUUACAAUUAAGAGUGCUUUAAGGUAAAUUGAAUGAUAGAAUCUUUAUUUAAGGCAAUAAAUAUUAAUAUUUAAAAAUGAAUAAUAACGAUGUAUGCAGUAAAAUAUUCAUUUCUUUAAAAAAAAAAUGCACUCCGGAA
This 212-nucleotide long non-coding RNA is filed under the name Gossypium raimondii (Peruvian cotton). RNAcentral describes it as "long non-coding RNA (GRAI_LNC006885)". The record is from RNAcentral. Lineage: Eukaryota; Viridiplantae; Streptophyta; Magnoliopsida; Malvales; Malvaceae.